Small nucleolar RNA from Capra hircus (goat), 71 nucleotides. Its record names the gene SNORD34. It matches the Rfam family "Small nucleolar RNA SNORD34". From Rfam's summary of the family: snoRNA U34 is found in intron 5 of the ribosomal protein L13a gene in humans. U34 is a member of the C/D class of snoRNA which contain C (UGAUGA) and D (CUGA) box motifs, and functions in directing site-specific 2'-O-methylation of 25S rRNAs. Lineage: Eukaryota; Metazoa; Chordata; Mammalia; Artiodactyla; Bovidae. The record is from Ensembl.
UGGCGUCGGUGAUGUUCUGCAAUUACCUACAUUGUUUGAUCCCUGUGAAAAGAGCACCGGCUGAGACGCCU